This is a long non-coding RNA of Gymnodraco acuticeps, 300 nucleotides long. RefSeq lists it as uncharacterized. The transcript has 3 exons. Lineage: Eukaryota; Metazoa; Chordata; Actinopteri; Perciformes; Bathydraconidae. The record is from RefSeq and is a predicted model, not a curated record.
AAAUGUUUAUGUAGUGUUGGUGCUUCUGUCUCAGAGGAAAAACUCAGACGUUGCUGUUUACCUGGAGAUAGUCAGAGGAGACGAGCAGCCUUUUCUUGUAUGAGCACGUAAAGAUCUGCUUUGAGCCAUGAAGCGCAGUAAGCACCGCGGACACAAGGAGGACAGAAACGGAGAUGAGCCCGCUAUCCUGGAGACGGAGGACCUGGAUCGUCAGGGCAUGUUUCUGGGAGGAGGCCCCGACCCCGACACCAUCUCUCUGGCCUCCGUCACAGCCGUCACCGACAACGUUUCAAACAAGAG